GGAGCAAAAGGUGCAACAAUGAAAGAUGCCACUGUGCGGCCGUACAUUGCGUGCGAGGAAUGUGAAGGGACUGCCCUGAAAGUAAAUGGGAAGGAAAAGAAAAAAGGUUAACUUAUUUCUUUUCCAACCUCAACUGGCAGACACUUGGAGUUUGCCUCUUUGUACUUGAGUAGGGUCUGGAUUAGUAGACCACCAUGGCAUAGGCCCACACCGUCAGCAUCACGUGACUGCAGCAGAAGUUCGACACGUUUAUUUAGACGUAAUUAUUUCGUGUACUUACCCUCCCAUUGUAGUGUACACAGCGAAGAAUCGACUGUUUGCAUGGUUAUGAUUCCGAAGAGAGGUAUAUCGUUCUGCGCUUUCGUAGCAGGUGCGCGUAUGUGGGGAAGAAAGUGUAAGGAUUCCGAAAUCUGCAAUGGAAAAGCAAUCGAAGUUCGAUGAGGAUUUAAAUUUUAGGACUUUCAUGUAACCUAACAAAGGUUUAAGCUCCUCUUACUGAUUGCAAUUGAGCUUUAGAUACCAUUUCAUUAUACAUAAAUUAGAAUUGAAUCUUAAAUGUACAUAUAAAUAAAUAAAUGACUCAAGAAAGAUUUUACGGUAUAAGUAAAAUUUCUUUCUAACCCUAUUUCUACUGCAAAAUUUGGACAGGUUAUUAAACGUAAA
This is a long non-coding RNA of Anastrepha ludens (Mexican fruit fly), 663 nucleotides long. RefSeq lists it as uncharacterized. The transcript has 3 exons. NCBI's taxonomy places the organism in Eukaryota, Metazoa, Arthropoda, Insecta, Diptera, Tephritidae. The record is from RefSeq and is a predicted model, not a curated record.